Non-coding RNA from Paramuricea clavata, 241 nucleotides. The record is from the annotation of a GenBank genome assembly. Lineage: Eukaryota; Metazoa; Cnidaria; Anthozoa; Malacalcyonacea; Plexauridae.
CGGCAGACAUUUCGAAUUAUGCCGCGCGAACCGGAAUAUUGAGGCAUGAGGCAAGUCAAGACACAGGGACACAGACACAAAAUUAAAUUACAUACCGACGGCGACGAUGAAAAUUACGAAAUUUAUUUAUUUAUUGCGAAAUAAAUUUAAAAAGGGUAAACAAACACUUUGUAUUUUAAAUUAACUAUACAACACAGAUAAUAUAACUAAAAAGACAUUGAGAAAAACAAGCCAAAACGAC